UUCAACGUACUGAUCACGUGGGGAAUAGAACAAGUUGAAUUUGAUUCAAACAUUUGAUGAUAAGGGAAAGCAAGUUGAGUUGAAAAAGCCUAUGUGAAGAAAGAGUUUCAGUCUAUGCAAAACGUAUAAUUUGAAGGACUCUUUGAAGAGUUGGAGUUUGACUACAACACUAAGGAGACGAGAGUUGAAUUUGAAGAAGG
This 200-nucleotide long non-coding RNA is filed under the name Capsicum annuum. RNAcentral's name for it is "long non-coding RNA (CANN_LNC001783)". Lineage: Eukaryota; Viridiplantae; Streptophyta; Magnoliopsida; Solanales; Solanaceae. The record is from RNAcentral.